Molecule: ribosomal RNA, 714 nt
Filed under: Triticum aestivum (bread wheat)
Lineage: Eukaryota; Viridiplantae; Streptophyta; Magnoliopsida; Poales; Poaceae
Description: partial small subunit ribosomal RNA
Source: RNAcentral
AUGAGGUGGCUGACCUCGUCGGCCCGUGGCCGCCAUACGCUCGCCGCCCAGGCUUCCUCCGUCGGCAGGUCCUCGCCGUCAAAGCGGACGGCGCACGCCAGUGCCAGGAGCGCCCUGGCCAUGGCGCCGCCCACGCUCGGCGCCACCGCCGCGGCGGCGCCGGCAUCGCCGUGGGCGCCGAGGCCGAGCGCGCUCUCGUCCACCACCCGCGCCGUAGACCUCCUCCCCCUGCGCCGCCGCCACCGCAGGCCCUGCCGGACGAGCGCCACCACGUCGCCCCACAUGAAGACCGCCGGCAAGAAGCUAGACACGGGCGGCACAGCAGUAUGGAAUGGACUGAUCACACGUACGUACGCGCGCGGCCUCUCCUCGAACUCUCACCACCAGAGCUUGGCGGGGACACGGCAGCCGAAGCACAUGCUUACGUGCACGCACACUCUUGUCGAUCACACGGCUCGCACCACGCCCAUGGAUCCUCCCGUGCUUGGAGCCACCAGCUGCGUCGUCCACACACACAGCAUCUCGGUGGGGGUUGUGGCAGAUCACAGGUAUGGUAUAUAUGCGCGCUGGUCCGAGGGAACUAGAAGGGAGCGGAGCUGGGGGAUGGUGGAAGCACGCAGGGAUCACGGUGGUUUAUAUGGAGGGAGGAAGAGGAGACAGGCGGAAGAAGAUGAUGGUGGUGGGGAGAGGGGAGCACUCAACGGCACGUACUAG